GACGAACGCUGGCGGCGUGCUUAACACAUGCAAGUCGAACGGAAAGGCCCUGCUUUUGUGGGGUGCUCGAGUGGCGAACGGGUGAGUAACACGUGAGUAACCUGCCCUUGCCUUUGGGAUAACUUCAGGAAACUGGGGCUAAUACCGGAUAGGAGCUCCUGCUGCAUGGUGGGGGUUGGAAAGUUUCGGCGGUUGGGGAUGGACUCGCGGCUUAUCAGCUUGUUGGUGGGGUAGUGGCUUACCAAGGCUUUGACGGGUAGCCGGCCUGAGAGGGUGACCGGCCACAUUGGGACUGAGAUACGGCACAGACUCCUACGGGAGGCAGAAGUGGGGAAUAUUGCACAAUGGGCGGAAGCCUGAUGCAGCAACGCCGCGUGCGGGAUGACGGCCUUCGGGUUGUAAACCGCUUUCGCCUGUGACGAAGCGUGAGUGACGGUAAUGGGUAAAGAAGCACCGGCUAACUACGUG
Molecule: ribosomal RNA, 468 nt
Filed under: uncultured bacterium
Lineage: Bacteria
Description: partial 16S ribosomal RNA
Rfam family: Bacterial small subunit ribosomal RNA
Source: RNAcentral